This 649-nucleotide small RNA is filed under the name Cryptococcus neoformans H99. RNAcentral's name for it is "Cryptococcus neoformans var. grubii H99 hypothetical RNA". Lineage: Eukaryota; Fungi; Basidiomycota; Tremellomycetes; Tremellales; Cryptococcaceae. The record is from RNAcentral.
AGGCUUUUCAUUGCAACAAACCCGGCCGCCUAGGCCUUUUCCAGACCAUUCAUCCUUAUCGCUUUUGGUCUAGCUGUAAUCAGAGCGGUGCGCAGCUUGACUACCGAAAUUGACUAACAAAAGUUUCCGUCCUUGCGCUGAAUAAUCGAUCAAGCCGUAUCCUCUCUCCGACCCAGGCCACCUUUCCGUCUUUGCCUUGCAAGCAUGUAUAUAAUUCUGGGGCCACUUCCUUGCCUCGUCCUAGCAGGGGCUAUCACUCCCACACGGCGCAACACUUGUAAAUCCUAACUCGUCUUUCUUGACAUUCUUAUGCCUCUCAAAAUACCACCACAAACGCCUCAUCCCCAGCUUGUACUGCUCAUUUGUCAUCCCAUGGGAAAACCCGAGCAAAGCAAUUGGUAGGCACACGUCGAGCAGGGAUGCAUUAGACGCUUUAUCCAGUUUAUAAAGUCCAUAUACCAAGCAAAUAACUCACAAACACGAAACUAUAGGGCAGUCCGUCAUAUCACCCUGCCCAUCUUGACAUGCAUCACCGGAACCUCUUUUCCCGUCGUCCCCCUCUUCUCAAACUGGACCGGAUCCAGUAUCUCCAUCCCACACAUCCCAUAAAACCUCGUCUGAUUCGAUCGCGCAUCAAAAUGGAAAAGCA